UCCGGUUUGGCACCGGCAGUCCCCCUAGAGUGCCCGGCCCGGUCUCCCGGCCGCUGGUAACGAGGGGCGGGGGUUGCGCUCGUUGCGGGACUUAACCCAACAUCUCACGACACGAGCUGACGACAGCCAUGCACCACCUGUGCACGAGCCCCGAAGGGCUGCCGUGUUUCCACGACAUUCCCGUGCAUGUCAAGCCUAGGUAAGGUUCUUCGCGUUGCGUCGAAUUAAACCACAUGCUCCGCUGCUUGUGCGGGCCCCCGUCAAUUCCUUUGAGUUUCAUUCUUGCGAACGUACUCCCCAGGUGGGAUACUUAUCACUUUCGCUUAGCCACUGGGAUUGCUCCCAACA
Molecule: unclassified non-coding RNA, 348 nt
Filed under: uncultured bacterium
Lineage: Bacteria
Description: contains 16S-23S intergenic spacer region
Source: RNAcentral